AAAAAGAUAAACCGUUCCCGUGCCAAUGUUUGACUGUCCGUCUUAUAUAAAAUUUUUUUAUAAUUAGUAUUUUCAUUGUUGUUAGAUGAUAAAACAUAAUUAAUACUUUAUGCGUGACUUAUCUUUUUAAUUUUUUUUCAUAAUUUUUUCAAAUAAGACAGACGGUCAAACGCUGGACACGGAAAUCAGGGUUUGUCUUUUU
MicroRNA precursor from Oryza sativa Indica Group (long-grained rice), 202 nucleotides. It matches the Rfam family "MIR812 microRNA precursor family". Lineage: Eukaryota; Viridiplantae; Streptophyta; Magnoliopsida; Poales; Poaceae. The record is from Rfam.